RNAcentral lists this non-coding RNA (179 nucleotides) under Opitutaceae bacterium. RNAcentral's name for it is "6S RNA". It matches the Rfam family "6S / SsrS RNA". From Rfam's summary of the family: E. coli 6S RNA was the first non coding RNA to be sequenced, but its function was unknown until recently. It consists of 184 nucleotides that fold into an extended hairpin structure with a large single-stranded internal bulge. The 6S RNA specifically associates with RNA polymerase holoenzyme containing the sigma70 specificity factor. The record is from RNAcentral. RNAcentral also lists the same sequence under 1 other name. Lineage: Bacteria; Pseudomonadati; Verrucomicrobiota; Opitutia; Opitutales; Opitutaceae.
CUCACCCUGCUGUGUUCGAGGUGUCUUAAUACAACUCUUCGCCUUUGAGAUUCUUCGGGAACCGAGAGGUGAUGGUGAAUGUCGGGCCGUAAAUCGGAAGGCAGGAGCCAUCGCUGGAGGUGCCCACCUUAAUAUAAAAAGGUCUGAGCCUUUUGGCAUACGGCACGAGUGGGGUGAAU